RNAcentral lists this long non-coding RNA (1690 nucleotides) under Cyanistes caeruleus (blue tit). RNAcentral describes it as "lncRNA (ENSCCEG00000005079.1)". The record is from RNAcentral. Lineage: Eukaryota; Metazoa; Chordata; Aves; Passeriformes; Paridae.
GUCUAGCUCUAGCUCUUGGAUGGGCAUCGCUCACGGCAGAGCUGCUGCAGCACACCCGAGGUCUCAGCCCAUGGAUUCAGCAUGCAGAGCCCUCAUCUCCAGCAGCCAGGUGGAACAGACCGCUGGGAAAAGGGAGUUUGGUGUGUGAUGGCAAGAUUCACCAGUGCCCCUUCCACCAUUGCGUAUCAGCCGGAUGUACUCACCUUGACAGGAGUGUAAAAUUUACAACAGAAAUUACUUUAAGACUGGAAAAGCUCUUACUUAACUGAACCAUCAUUCAAAAUGCAUUAUGAAAGUCACCAAGGAGAAGUUUUCCAUCUCACUGUCUGCAGGACUCCUGCAGGUCUUCUGAAGCUUAAGUUCAUGCAUAGGACAUGGCAGGCCUGGUCAUUUCACUUCUUGUAUGUUCUCAGUUGGAAGUCACUGAAAAUCAGAAGAAGCUCCCAGGCUGCCCCUUAAAAGAAAAAGCAGUAAUCUGGCAAAAUGAACUCAGAACACACAAAGAGGAGCCACUGGAGACUAAUCUGCAAGGUAUUCAGAUUCUGCUACCAAACUGCUUCUGGGACUUCAUGCAGUUUGCUUCAUCUGAGAGAACCUCAGCAGUGCGCAUGGAGUCAGAAUUCCCUCCAGGAAGGGCUGGAACAUCUGAGCAUAGCGGUGGGGCUCAUCCUGCAGCAGGAGGACUGUCCAGCUGCUCAGACUGGCACCUGUCCUCAGCCCAGUCCAAACCCAAAUGCCUAAGGAAGUGUGUAAGGACAAGGAAAUUGUAGAUCAUAUUUCAGCUAAGUGAUAUCUUGGUGCUCUCCCACCCCCAAGAAACAUGCAGCCAGGCAUAGUUUAUUUCUCAUUAGCAACUAAAGCGGAUUUCUGUUCUGUAAACUUGCCCGACCUCCUCUGAGCCUUACGGCCUCCCUCACAGGGAGUCCUACAGCAUGACACACCUGUUGUGAAGAGUCACUUUGUUUUUGUUUGUUUUGAAACUACCUCAUGCUAGUUGGAGAUGAAAGGAUGCCUUCUAGAAUCUGACAGUAAAACUAGAAAAGGUUUUUUAAGAUUGUAUUUUUGAAAUGUAAUUUGUGUUUAGGCGUUAGGUUAGUAUGGUGGAUAUAGCACAGUUAAGUAAUCCAGGACCGGGUUGCCUUGUGGGUAAAACAACUAAUCUAAAGGGUCUGUACUUCCAGGGAAGUCAAGUCUUAGCAGCCAUAUCAGUUUUAAGCAUGGGCAUAUUUGCUGGUAGCAGAAAAAUUCCUGAUUGGUUCCAGUUAAUGAAUCAUUUGAGCAUGCAUUUAACUCCUCUGUGCAUUUCAGACUGAGUUGUGCUGGGGUACUGAGUCUGGGUGUUACUCUGAAGGUACCUCUCUGUUUGUAACACGGUGGGAUUUUUUUUGUUUGCUGGAUAAAUACCAUAUGCUUUUGACUUUGCUAUCCUGUGUUGGAUAGUGUUGGUUUUGUGCAGAGACCUGAUUCUAACUGGGAGGUUAUUGAGAUCAAUGUGUUCUGGGAUGUUUCUGCUUCCCAAUGAUAAGAGGGAUGAAUGGUAGAGAGAAGUAAUGGGAAGAGAGAGGUAAAUGUGCAUGAAGAGCCCUGAAAUCUAAAGAAGAUAGGAAGAACAUGCAUCACCAAUCAGUCUGUUGCAUAUUGAGACACAAGAUCUCCUUGGGAUGGGGUAAUAAAUACUUUGGUAACUUCA